GACGAACGCUGGCGGCGUGCUUAACGCAUGCAAGUCGAACGGAAAGGCCCUGCUUUUGUGGGGUGCUCGAGUGGCGAACGGGUGAGUAACACGUGAGUAACCUGCCCUUGACUUUGGGAUAACUUCAGGAAACUGGGGCUAAUACCGGAUAGGAGCUCCUGCUGCAUGGUGGGGGUUGGAAAGUUUCGGCGGUUGGGGAUGGACUCGCGGCUUAUCAGCUUGUUGGUGGGGUAGUGGCUUACCAAGGCUUUGACGGGUAGCCGGCCUGAGAGGGUGACCGGCCACAGUGGGACUGAGAUACGGCCCAGACUCCAUCGGGAGGCAGCAGUGGGGAAUAGUGCACAAUGGGCGGAAGCCUGAUGCAGCAACGCCGCGUGCGGGAUGACGGCCUUCGGGUAGUAAACCGCUUUCGCCUGUGACGAAGCGUGAGUGACGGUAAUGGGGAAAGAAGCACCGGCUAACUACGU
RNAcentral lists this ribosomal RNA (467 nucleotides) under uncultured bacterium. RNAcentral's name for it is "partial 16S ribosomal RNA". It matches the Rfam family "Bacterial small subunit ribosomal RNA", at positions 28 to 506 of the family's 1533-position model. The record is from RNAcentral.